RNAcentral lists this ribosomal RNA (253 nucleotides) under uncultured bacterium. Its description in RNAcentral is "partial 16S ribosomal RNA". It matches the Rfam family "Bacterial small subunit ribosomal RNA", at positions 524 to 776 of the family's 1533-position model. The record is from RNAcentral.
GACGAACCGUGCGACCGUUGUUCGGAAUCACUGGGCUUAAAGGGCGCGUAGGCGGGCAGCUAAGUCAGGGGUGAAAGCCCACGGCUCAACCGUGGAAGUGCCUUUGAUACUGACUGUCUCGAGGGAGGUAGGGGCGUGCGGAACUUCCGGUGGAGCGGUGAAAUGCGUAGAUAUCGGAAGGAACGCCGGUGGCGAAAGCGGCGCGCUGGACCUCUUCUGACGCUGAGGCGCGAAAGCCAGGGGAGCAAACGGG